ACAUGCAAGUCGAACGAUGAAGCCCAGCUUGCUGGGUGGAUUAGUGGCGAACGGGUGAGUAACACGUGAGUAACCUGCCCUUAACUCUGGGAUAAGCCUGGGAAACUGGGUCUAAUACCGGAUAGGAGCGCCUACCGCAUGGUGGGUGUUGGAAAGAUUUAUCGGUUUUGGAUGGACUCGCGGCCUAUCAGCUUGUUGGUGAGGUAAUGGCUCACCAAGGCGACGACGGGUAGCCGGCCUGAGAGGGUGACCGGCCACACUGGGACUGAGACACGGCCCAGACUCCUACGGGAGGCAGCAGUGGGGAAUAUUGCACAAUGGGCGAAAGCCUGAUGCAGCGACGCCGCGUGAGGGAUGACGGCCUUCGGGUUGUAAACCUCUUUCAGUAGGGAAGAAGCGAAAGUGACGGUACCUGCAGAAGAAGCACCGGCUAACUACGUGCCAGCAGCCGCGGUAAUACGUAGGGUGCGAGCGUUAUCCGGAAUUAUUGGGCGUAAAGAGCUCGUAGGCGGUUUGUCGCGUCUGUCGUGAAAGUCCGGGGCUUAACCCCGGAUCUGCGGUGGGUACGGGCAGACUAGAGUGCAGUAGGGGAGACUGGAAUUCCUGGUGUAGCGGUGGAAUGCGCAGAUAUCAGGAGGAACACCGAUGGCGAAGGCAGGUCUCUGGGCUGUAACUGACGCUGAGGAGCGAAAGCAUGGGGAGCGAACAGGAUUAGAUACCCUGGUAGUCCAUGCCGUAAACGUUGGGCACUAGGUGUGGGGACCAUUCCACGGUUUCCGCGCCGCAGCUAACGCAUUAAGUGCCCCGCCUGGGGAGUACGGCCGCAAGGCUAAAACUCAAAGGAAUUGAC
Molecule: ribosomal RNA, 850 nt
Filed under: Micrococcus luteus
Lineage: Bacteria; Bacillati; Actinomycetota; Actinomycetes; Micrococcales; Micrococcaceae
Description: bacterial SSU rRNA
Rfam family: Bacterial small subunit ribosomal RNA
Source: RNAcentral